UUUGAAAUCUGGCAGUCUUCGAUUGUCCGAGUUGUAAUCUAUAGAGGCGUUUUCCGUGCCGGACCGUGUCCAAGUCUCCUGGAAAGGAGUAUCAAAGAGGGUGAUAAUCCCGUACUUAACACGACCACCGGUGCUCUGUGAUACGUCUUCUACGAGUCGAGUUGUUUGGGAAUGCAGCUCAAAAUGGGUGGUGAAUUCCAUCUAAAGCUAAAUAUUGGCGAGAGACCGAUAGCGAACAAGUACCGUGAGGGAAAGAUGAAAAGCACUUUGGAAAGAGAGUUAAACAGUACGUGAAAUUGUUGAAAGGGAAACGAUUGAAGUCAGUCGUGUUCUUUGGAUUCAGCCAGUUCUGCUGGUCUACUUCCUUGGAACGGGUCAACAUCAGUUUUGUCCGGUGGAUAAAGGUAGUAGGAAUGUGACUUCCCCGGAAGUGUUAUAGCCUAUUAUCACAUACACUGGGUGAGACUGAGGACUGCAGCUCGCCUUUAUGGCCGGUCUUCGGACACGUUCGAGCUUAGGAUGUUGACAUAAUAGG
Molecule: ribosomal RNA, 535 nt
Filed under: Trichosporon asteroides
Lineage: Eukaryota; Fungi; Basidiomycota; Tremellomycetes; Trichosporonales; Trichosporonaceae
Description: eukaryotic LSU rRNA
Rfam family: Eukaryotic large subunit ribosomal RNA
Source: RNAcentral